Molecule: microRNA precursor, 67 nt
Filed under: Bombyx mori (domestic silkworm)
Lineage: Eukaryota; Metazoa; Arthropoda; Insecta; Lepidoptera; Bombycidae
Description: mir-2774 microRNA precursor family
Rfam family: mir-2774 microRNA precursor family
Source: Rfam by way of RNAcentral
AUAACAUUCGGACCGUUGGUCUACCGAGCAAUAUCACCCGCUCGGUGGAAGAUCUUCCUUUCGUCGU